This 347-nucleotide ribosomal RNA is filed under the name uncultured bacterium. RNAcentral describes it as "bacterial SSU rRNA". It matches the Rfam family "Bacterial small subunit ribosomal RNA", at positions 28 to 375 of the family's 1533-position model. The record is from RNAcentral.
GACGAACGCUGGCGGCGUGCUUAACACAUGCAAGUCGAACGAUGAAGCCCUUUCGGGGGUGGAUUAGUGGCGAACGGGUGAGUAACACGUGGGUAACCUGCCCUGUACCCUGGGAUAAGCCUUGGAAACGAGGUCUAAUACCGGAUAUGACCUGCUCUCGCAUGGGGGUGGGUGGAAAGUUUUGGCGGUGCAGGAUGGACCCGCGGCCUAUCAGCUUGUUGGUGGGGUGAUGGCCUACCAAGGCGACGACGGGUAGCCGGCCUGAGAGGGCGACCGGCCACACUGGGACUGAGACACGGCCCCAGGACUCCUACGGGAGGCAGCAGUGGGGAAUAUUGCACAAUGGG